UUAAGCGACUAAGCGUACACGGUGGAUGCCCUGGCAGUCAGAGGCGAUGAAGGACGUGCUAAUCUGCGAUAAGCGUCGGUAAGGUGAUAUGAACCGUUAUAACCGGCGAUUUCCGAAUGGGGAAACCCAGUGUGUUUCGACACACUAUCAUUAACUGAAUCCAUAGGUUAAUGAGGCGAACCGGGGGAACUGAAACAUCUAAGUACCCCGAGGAAAAGAAAUCAACCGAGAUUCCCCCAGUAGCGGCGAGCGAACGGGGAGCAGCCCAGAGCCUGAAUCAGUGUGUGUGUUAGUGGAAGCGUCUGGAAAGGCGCGCGAUACAGGGUGACAGCCCCGUACACAAAAAUGCACAUGCUGUGAGCUCGAUGAGUAGGGCGGGACACGUGGUAUCCUGUCUGAAUAUGGGGGGACCAUCCUCCAAGGCUAAAUACUCCUGACUGACCGAUAGUGAACCAGUACCGUGAGGGAAAGGCGAAAAGAACCCCGGCGAGGGGAGUGAAAAAGAACCUGAAACCGUGUACGUACAAGCAGUGGGAGCACGCUUAGGCGUGUGACUGCGUACCUUUUGUAUAAUGGGUCAGCGACUUAUAUUCUGUAGCAAGGUUAACCGAAUAGGGGAGCCGAAGGGAAACCGAGUCUUAACUGGGCGUUAAGUUGCAGGGUAUAGACCCGAAACCCGGUGAUCUAGCCAUGGGCAGGUUGAAGGUUGGGUAACACUAACUGGAGGACCGAACCGACUAAUGUUGAAAAAUUAGCGGAUGACUUGUGGCUGGGGGUGAAAGGCCAAUCAAACCGGGAGAUAGCUGGUUCUCCCCGAAAGCUAUUUAGGUAGCGCCUCGUGAAUUCAUCUCCGGGGGUAGAGCACUGUUUCGGCAAGGGGGUCAUCCCGACUUACCAACCCGAUGCAAACUGCGAAUACCGGAGAAUGUUAUCACGGGAGACACACGGCGGGUGCUAACGUCCGUCGUGAAGAGGGAAACAACCCAGACCGCCAGCUAAGGUCCCAAAGUCAUGGUUAAGUGGGAAACGAUGUGGGAAGGCCCAGACAGCCAGGAUGUUGGCUUAGAAGCAGCCAUCAUUUAAAGAAAGCGUAAUAGCUCACUGGUCGAGUCGGCCUGCGCGGAAGAUGUAACGGGGCUAAACCAUGCACCGAAGCUGCGGCAGCGACGCUGAUGCGUUGUUGGGUAGGGGAGCGUUCUGUAAGCCUGUGAAGGUGUGCUGUGAGGCAUGCUGGAGGUAUCAGAAGUGCGAAUGCUGACAUAAGUAACGAUAAAGCGGGUGAAAAGCCCGCUCGCCGGAAGACCAAGGGUUCCUGUCCAACGUUAAUCGGGGCAGGGUGAGUCGACCCCUAAGGCGAGGCCGAAAGGCGUAGUCGAUGGGAAACAGGUUAAUAUUCCUGUACUUGGUGUUACUGCGAAGGGGGGACGGAGAAGGCUAUGUUGGCCGGGCGACGGUUGUCCCGGUUUAAGCGUGUAGGCUGGUUUUCCAGGCAAAUCCGGAAAAUCAAGGCUGAGGCGUGAUGACGAGGCACUACGGUGCUGAAGCAACAAAUGCCCUGCUUCCAGGAAAAGCCUCUAAGCAUCAGGUAACAUCAAAUCGUACCCCAAACCGACACAGGUGGUCAGGUAGAGAAUACCAAGGCGCUUGAGAGAACUCGGGUGAAGGAACUAGGCAAAAUGGUGCCGUAACUUCGGGAGAAGGCACGCUGAUAUGUAGGUGAAGUCCCUCGCGGAUGGAGCUGAAAUCAGUCGAAGAUACCAGCUGGCUGCAACUGUUUAUUAAAAACACAGCACUGUGCAAACACGAAAGUGGACGUAUACGGUGUGACGCCUGCCCGGUGCCGGAAGGUUAAUUGAUGGGGUCAGCGCAAGCGAAGCUCUUGAUCGAAGCCCCGGUAAACGGCGGCCGUAACUAUAACGGUCCUAAGGUAGCGAAAUUCCUUGUCGGGUAAGUUCCGACCUGCACGAAUGGCGUAAUGAUGGCCAGGCUGUCUCCACCCGAGACUCAGUGAAAUUGAACUCGCUGUGAAGAUGCAGUGUACCCGCGGCAAGACGGAAAGACCCCGUGAACCUUUACUAUAGCUUGACACUGAACAUUGAGCCUUGAUGUGUAGGAUAGGUGGGAGGCUUAGAAGUGUGGACGCCAGUCUGCAUGGAGCCGACCUUGAAAUACCACCCUUUAAUGUUUGAUGUUCUAACGUUGACCCGUAAUCCGGGUUGCGGACAGUGUCUGGUGGGUAGUUUGACUGGGGCGGUCUCCUCCUAAAGAGUAACGGAGGAGCACGAAGGUUGGCUAAUCCUGGUCGGACAUCAGGAGGUUAGUGCAAUGGCAUAAGCCAGCUUGACUGCGAGCGUGACGGCGCGAGCAGGUGCGAAAGCAGGUCAUAGUGAUCCGGUGGUUCUGAAUGGAAGGGCCAUCGCUCAACGGAUAAAAGGUACUCCGGGGAUAACAGGCUGAUACCGCCCAAGAGUUCAUAUCGACGGCGGUGUUUGGCACCUCGAUGUCGGCUCAUCACAUCCUGGGGCUGAAGUAGGUCCCAAGGGUAUGGCUGUUCGCCAUUUAAAGUGGUACGCGAGCUGGGUUUAGAACGUCGUGAGACAGUUCGGUCCCUAUCUGCCGUGGGCGCUGGAGAACUGAGGGGGGCUGCUCCUAGUACGAGAGGACCGGAGUGGACGCAUCACUGGUGUUCGGGUUGUCAUGCCAAUGGCACUGCCCGGUAGCUAAAUGCGGAAGAGAUAAGUGCUGAAAGCAUCUAAGCACGAAACUUGCCCCGAGAUGAGUUCUCCCUGACCCUUUAAGGGUCCUGAAGGAACGUUGAAGACGACGACGUUGAUAGGCCGGGUGUGUAAGCGCAGCGAUGCGUUGAGCUAACCGGUACUAAUGAACCGUGAGGCUUAACCU
RNAcentral lists this ribosomal RNA (2901 nucleotides) under Escherichia coli. RNAcentral's name for it is "23S ribosomal RNA". It matches the Rfam family "Bacterial large subunit ribosomal RNA". The record is from RNAcentral. RNAcentral also lists the same sequence under 1 other name. Lineage: Bacteria; Pseudomonadati; Pseudomonadota; Gammaproteobacteria; Enterobacterales; Enterobacteriaceae.